Molecule: ribosomal RNA, 386 nt
Filed under: Eukaryota sp.
Lineage: Eukaryota
Description: partial small subunit ribosomal RNA
Rfam family: Eukaryotic small subunit ribosomal RNA
Source: RNAcentral
AUUCCAGCUCCAAGAGAGUCUGCUAAAGUUGCUUCGGUCAUAAAUCUAGUACUUAAAUUUCUGUUGAGGACGAUCGGUCCGCCCCCUAGAAGGGCAUCUGGUUCGGCUUGGGCAUCUUCUUGUGGGACGUAUCUGCAUUUGAUUGUGGCGCGGCAUCCGGGGCUUCUGCUUCGAGGAAAUUAAAGUGUUCCAAGCAGGCCUGCGCCUAGAAUACACUAGCAUGGAAUAAUAAGAUAGGACAUCGGCUCAUGCUGUUAGCUUCUAGAGCUGAGGUAAAGAUUAAUAGGGAUAGCUUGGGGCAUACGUAUUGAGCUGUCAGAUGUAGAAUUCGUGGACUUGUUGGAGACGGACGACUGCGAAAGCAAUUGCCAAUGAUGUUUUCAUCA